GGGUUGUGAGGUUAAGCGACUAAGCGUACACGGUGGAUGCCCUGGCAGUCAGAGGCGAUGAAGGACGUGCUAAUCUGCGAUAAGCGUCGGUAAGGUGAUAUGAACCGUUAUAACCGGCGAUUUCCGAAUGGGGAAACCCAGUGUGAUUCGUCACACUAUCAUUAACUGAAUCCAUAGGUUAAUGAGGCGAACCGGGGGAACUGAAACAUCUAAGUACCCCGAGGAAAAGAAAUCAACCGAGAUUCCCCCAGUAGCGGCGAGCGAACGGGGAGCAGCCCAGAGCCUGAAUCAGUGUGUGUGUUAGUGGAAGCGUCUGGAAAGGCGCGCGAUACAGGGUGACAGCCCCGUACACAAAAAUGCACAUGCUGUGAGCUCGAUGAGUAGGGCGGGACACGUGGUAUCCUGUCUGAAUAUGGGGGGACCAUCCUCCAAGGCUAAAUACUCCUGACUGACCGAUAGUGAACCAGUACCGUGAGGGAAAGGCGAAAAGAACCCCGGCGAGGGGAGUGAAAAAGAACCUGAAACCGU
Molecule: ribosomal RNA, 528 nt
Filed under: Escherichia coli
Lineage: Bacteria; Pseudomonadati; Pseudomonadota; Gammaproteobacteria; Enterobacterales; Enterobacteriaceae
Description: partial 23S ribosomal RNA
Rfam family: Bacterial large subunit ribosomal RNA
Source: RNAcentral